This 255-nucleotide ribosomal RNA is filed under the name uncultured bacterium. RNAcentral describes it as "partial 16S ribosomal RNA". It matches the Rfam family "Bacterial small subunit ribosomal RNA", at positions 524 to 776 of the family's 1533-position model. The record is from RNAcentral.
UACGUAGGGUGCAAGCGUUGUCCGGAAUUAUUGGGCGUAAAGAGCUCGUAGGCGGUUUGUUGCGUCGGCUGUGGAAAUCCCGAGGCUCAACCUCGGGUCUGCAGUCGAUACGAGCAAACUAGAGUGUUGCAGGGGAGACUGGAAUUCCUGGUGUAGCGGUGAAAUGCGCAGAUAUCAGGAGGAACACCGGUGGCGAAGGCGGGUCUCUGGGCAACAACUGACGCUGGAGGAGCGAAAGCGUGGGGAGCGAACAGG